CGAGCAAUCUGCCCUUCUCAUCGGAAUAAGCGUUGGAAACGACGUCUAAUGCCGAAUACGACCUCCUUUCGCAUGAUCGGAGGUGGAAAGCUCCGGCGGAGAAGGAUGAGCUCGCGACCUAUCAGCUAGUUGGUGUGGGUAAUGGCCCACCAAGGCGACGACGGGUAGCCGGCCUGAGAGGGUGACCGGCCACACUGGGACUGAGACACGGCCAGACUCCGUACGGGAGCAG
Molecule: ribosomal RNA, 232 nt
Filed under: uncultured bacterium
Lineage: Bacteria
Description: partial 16S ribosomal RNA
Rfam family: Bacterial small subunit ribosomal RNA
Source: RNAcentral